UAUCUUCUUAUGCUUUUGAUCCAACUCGGUGCAGAAGGCUUUACAACCUGCCGAGGCGCGAUGGAAUUCUUAGUGAGCAUCCCGAGGGAUACCUUGGGAGAGGAGCUGUUGUAUAUCAGCGAUGGUAUACAGGGAGGCGGAAACCGCCAACAGAAAAGUCGCGGCACCGUGUGAUAGCGAGAUAAAAGUUACUGGACUCGCGGGGCGGGCAAUAGACGCUCCAGUGGAGAAUAAUCCUGUAUGCCUUGUCCGUGGCUGGAUGAUGACACAGCAGGAAAGCCACUAACCGCCUGAGAGUUGAUGCCCGGAAACGGGAUAUAACGCGAGAAACAGGUGCGAGUAGCCAAAGCUCUCGGUGAAGAACCGGUCUGUAUCAACCGCUAGAUACUCAAGCUGAAGUUUGGUGAAAGUUAUGGGUAUCAAUCCCAUGUGGUCACGGCGAAAGCGGUGUGAAAAUGUUAGGGGUCGCUCCCCGAAGCACAGCGUCACAUCACCACUGAACGAACAUUAUCGAUGAUCAUGCGGCAUCCCGAAGGGGAGGAUGAAAGGCAUAAGCGGG
Molecule: non-coding RNA, 559 nt
Filed under: unclassified sequences
Description: ROOL RNA
Rfam family: ROOL RNA
About the family: Firmicutes, Fusobacteria (1 example), Tenericutes (1 example). Environment (Cow rumen (57))
Source: Rfam by way of RNAcentral